RNAcentral lists this ribosomal RNA (745 nucleotides) under Elphidium aculeatum. RNAcentral's name for it is "SSU rRNA". It matches the Rfam family "Bacterial small subunit ribosomal RNA", at positions 537 to 1293 of the family's 1533-position model. Lineage: Eukaryota; Foraminifera; Rotaliida; Elphidiidae. The record is from RNAcentral.
AGUGUUAUCCGGAAUCACUGGGCGUAAAGCGUCUGUAGGUUGUUUAAUAAGUCAACUGUUAAAUCUUGAAGCUCAACUUCAAAACUGCAGUCGAAACUGUUAGACUAGAGUAUAGUAGAGGUAAAGGGAAUUUCCAGUGGAGCGGUGAAAUGCGUAGAUAUUGGAAAGAACACCAAUGGCGAAGGCACUUUACUGGGCUAUUACUGACACUCAGAGACGAAAGCUAGGGUAGCAAAUGGGAUUAGAUACCCCAGUAGUCCUAGCUGUAAACAAUGGAUACUAGGUGUUGAACAGAACGACUGUGCAGUACUAAAGCUAACGCGUUAAGUAUCCCGCCUGGAAAGUAUGCUCGCAAGGGUGAAAUUCAAAGGAAUUGACGGGGGCCCGCACAAGCGGUGGAGCAUGUGUUUAAUUCGAUGCAACGCGAAGAACCUUACCAGGGUUUGACAUGAUAUGAAUUUUUUUGAAAAAAGAAAGUGCCUUUUGGAACAUAUACACAGGUGGUGCAUGGCUGUCGUCAGCUCGUGUCGUGAGAUGUUGGGUUAAGUCCCACAACGAGCGCAACCCUUGUUUUUAGUUGCCUUCGGGAACUCUAAAAAGACUGCCGGUUAUAAACCGGAGGAAGGCGGGGAUGACGUCAAGUCAGCAUGCCCCUUACACCCUGGGCUACACACGUGCUACAAUGGGCGAGACAAUGAGCUGCAAACUUGCGAAAGUUAGCUAAUCUAUAAACUCGUUCUUAGUU